Non-coding RNA from Loxodonta africana (African savanna elephant), 108 nucleotides. The record is from Rfam. NCBI's taxonomy places the organism in Eukaryota, Metazoa, Chordata, Mammalia, Proboscidea, Elephantidae.
UUACAAAAGGAAAAUACAGGGAAAGGUAAAGUUCUCAUGGGCUUGGAGAAAAUCACCAGAAAUAGGCACAGUAUCAGAAAGCCCCUUGGUCCCAGGCUAAGCCCCCUU